RNAcentral lists this ribosomal RNA (587 nucleotides) under uncultured bacterium. RNAcentral's name for it is "bacterial SSU rRNA". It matches the Rfam family "Bacterial small subunit ribosomal RNA", at positions 336 to 914 of the family's 1533-position model. The record is from RNAcentral.
CUCCUACGGGAGGCAGCAGUGGGGAAUUUUGGACAAUGGGCGAAAGCCUGAUCCAGCAAUGCCGCGUGUGUGAAGAAGGCCUUCGGGUUGUAAAGCACUUUUGUCCGGAAAGAAAUGGCUCUGGUUAAUACCUGGGGUCGAUGACGGUACCGGAAGAAUAAGGACCGGCUAACUACGUGCCAGCAGCCGCGGUAAUACGUAGGGUCCAAGCGUUAAUCGGAAUUACUGGGCGUAAAGCGUGCGCAGGCGGUUGUGCAAGACCGAUGUGAAAUCCCCGAGCUUAACUUGGGAAUUGCAUUGGUGACUGCACGGCUAGAGUGUGUCAGAGGGGGGUAGAAUUCCACGUGUAGCAGUGAAAUGCGUAGAGAUGUGGAGGAAUACCGAUGGCGAAGGCAGCCCCCUGGGAUAACACUGACGCUCAUGCACGAAAGCGUGGGGAGCAAACAGGAUUAGAUACCCUGGGUAGUCCACGCCCUAAACGAUGUCAACUAGUUGUUGGGGAUUCAUUUCCCUUAGUAACGUAGCUAACGCGUGAAGUUGACCGCCUGGGGAGUACGGUCGCAAGAUUAAAACUCAAAGGAAUUGAC